This 495-nucleotide ribosomal RNA is filed under the name uncultured bacterium. RNAcentral describes it as "partial 16S ribosomal RNA". It matches the Rfam family "Bacterial small subunit ribosomal RNA", at positions 28 to 507 of the family's 1533-position model. The record is from RNAcentral.
GACGAACGCUGGCGGCGUGCCUAAUACAUGCAAGUAGAACGCUGAAGGAGGAGCUUGCUCUUCUGGAUGAGUUGCGAACGGGUGAGUAACGCGUAGGUAACCUGCCUGGUAGCGGGGGAUAACUAUUGGAAACGAUAGCUAAUACCGCAUAAGAGUAGAUGUUGCAUGACAUUUGCUUAAAAGGUGCAAUUGCAUCACUACCAGAUGGACCUGCGUUGUAUUAGCUAGUUGGUGGGGUAACGGCUCACCAAGGCGACGAUACAUAGCCGACCUGAGAGGGUGAUCGGACACACUGGGACUGAGACACGGCCCAGACUCCUACGGGAGGCAGCAGUAGGGAAUCUUCGGCAAUGGACGGAAGUCUGACCGAGCAACGCCGCGUGAGUGAAGAAGGUUUUCGGAUCGUAAAGCUCUGUUGUAAGAGAAGAACGAGUGUGAGAGUGGAAAGUUCACACUGUGACGGUAUCUUACCAGAAAGGGACGGCUAACUACGUG